This 301-nucleotide ribosomal RNA is filed under the name uncultured bacterium. Its description in RNAcentral is "partial 16S ribosomal RNA". It matches the Rfam family "Bacterial small subunit ribosomal RNA", at positions 509 to 807 of the family's 1533-position model. The record is from RNAcentral.
CAGCCGCCACGGUAAUACGAAGGGUGCAAGCGUUAAUCGGAAUUACUGGGCGUAAAGCGUGCGUAGGCGGUGAGUUAAGUCUGCUGUGAAAUCCCCGGGCUCAACCUGGGAAUUGCAGUGGAUACUGGGUCACUAGAGUGUGGUAGAGGAUAGUGGAAUUUCCGGUGUAGCAGUGAAAUGCGUAGAGAUCGGAAGGAACAUCUGUGGCGAAGGCGACUAUCUGGGCCAACACUGACACUGAGGCACGAAAGCGUUGGGAGCAAACAGGAUUAGAUACCCCAGUAGUCCCUGUCUCUUAUAC